This 311-nucleotide long non-coding RNA is filed under the name Sorghum bicolor (sorghum). RNAcentral describes it as "long non-coding RNA (SBIC_LNC000898)". The record is from RNAcentral. Lineage: Eukaryota; Viridiplantae; Streptophyta; Magnoliopsida; Poales; Poaceae.
AGUCCAGUUCUCUCCCCAGCGCAUCAUACUGCUGCGGGCGGUGACAAUGCUGGAUCUCCUCCAACACCUGCGGCGGCCACACCGACCCCGCCACCGCCUCCACCACGGUCUCCAACUCCUCCACCGCGUUCUCCAACUCCUCCACCGCGUUCUCCAACGCCAAAAAGAUCGGCCCCACCCCCUCCACCGCCUGCACCGCCCUCUCCAAAGAGUGCACGGUCGGUCCCCUCGCCUCCAAAGCGAGGUAGUAAGAAGCGGUCCGUCCAAGAAGGACCGAAGUCAUCGGUCCCACCUCUAAAGAAGGCUGCCUC